This 588-nucleotide ribosomal RNA is filed under the name uncultured bacterium. RNAcentral describes it as "bacterial SSU rRNA". It matches the Rfam family "Bacterial small subunit ribosomal RNA", at positions 224 to 809 of the family's 1533-position model. The record is from RNAcentral.
GAUGGGCAUGCGUUGUAUUAGCUAGUUGGUGGGGUAACGGCUCACCAAGGCGACGAUACAUAGGGGGACUGAGAGGUUAACCCCCCACACUGGUACUGAGACACGGACCAGACUCCUACGGGAGGCAGCAGUGAGGAAUAUUGGUCAAUGGACGCAAGUCUGAACCAGCCAUGCCGCGUGCAGGAUGACGGCUCUAUGAGUUGUAAACUGCUUUUGUACGAGGGUAAACGCAGAUACGUGUAUCUGUCUGAAAGUAUCGUACGAAUAAGGAUCGGCUAACUCCGUGCCAGCAGCCGCGGUAAUACGGAGGAUUCAAGCGUUAUCCGGAUUUAUUGGGUUUAAAGGGUGCGUAGGCGGUUUGAUAAGUUAGAGGUGAAAUUUCGGGGCUCAACCCUGAACGUGCCUCUAAUACUGUUGAGCUAGAGAGUAGUUGCGGUAGGCGGAAUGUAUGGUGUAGCGGUGAAAUGCUUAGAGAUCAUACAGAACACCGAUUGCGAAGGCAGCUUACCAAACUAUAUCUGACGUUGAGGCACGAAAGCGUGGGGAGCAAACAGGAUUAGAUACCCUGGUAGUCCACGCAGUAAACGA